RNAcentral lists this ribosomal RNA (301 nucleotides) under uncultured bacterium. RNAcentral describes it as "partial 16S ribosomal RNA". It matches the Rfam family "Bacterial small subunit ribosomal RNA", at positions 509 to 807 of the family's 1533-position model. The record is from RNAcentral.
CAGUAGCCGCGGUAAUACGAAGGGUGCAAGCGUUAAUCGGAAUUACUGGGCGUAAAGCGUGCGUAGGCGGUUUGUUAAGUCUGCUGUGAAAUCCCCGGGCUUAACCUGGGAAUGGCAGUGGAUACUGGCAAGCUAGAGUGUGUCAGAGGAUGGUGGAAUUCCCGGUGUAGCGGUGAAAUGCGUAGAGAUCGGGAGGAACAUCAGUGGCGAAGGCGGCCAUCUGGGACAACACUGACGCUGAGGCACGAAAGCGUGGGGAGCAAACAGGAUUAGAUACCCCUGUAGUCCCUGUCUCUUAUAC